Molecule: RNA transcript, 1490 nt
Organism: Oncorhynchus kisutch (coho salmon)
Lineage: Eukaryota; Metazoa; Chordata; Actinopteri; Salmoniformes; Salmonidae
Gene: aspdh
Gene name: aspartate dehydrogenase domain containing
Exons: 9
Source: RefSeq, a predicted model, not a curated record
GAGAAGGGGUGUCAGUUGGAAUGUAGAUUGCGAAGGAGAAGGUUUGGAGAGAAAGAGAGAAAGAGAGCAGGGAGAGGAAUUCACUGGAACCAUGGCUGACAUGUUGCCAGUGAUGAGAAUUGGAGUUGUGGGACAUGGACAUUUAGGGCAGUACCUUGUGGAGCGGCUCCAGAAAGAAGGGGCCCAGGUGGGCCUGACACUGGUCUUUGUGUGGAACAGAAACACUGACAAACUCAGGGAAUCAGUGGCUGAGGAGCUCAUUCUACACAACCUCCCAGACUUUACAGACAGGGGUGCUGAUGUGAUUGUGGAGGUGUGUCAUCCCAAAAUUGUAAAAGACUUUGGAGUCCAAUUCCUCUCUAAGGCCCAUUUUCUGGUGGGCUCACCUUCAGCCCUCUCAGACCCACAGCUGAACCAGGAACUGCGCCAGGCUGCAGAGCAUCAUGGGAGGACCCUAUAUGUCCCCAGUGGUGCAUUGUGGGGAGGCCAGGAUAUCCUGAGACUCAAUGAUAGUGGAUCUUUAAAGGCACUGUUCAUCCGGAUGUCCAAGCACCCGUCAUGUUUCCGUCUGACAGGAGACGUGCUGUCUGAUUGGACAGAGGAUGAGGGGAGGCGGGUCUUAUUCAGUGGCUCCGUGGCAGAGCUCUGUCCCGUCGCCCCUAACAACGUCAACACCAUGGCGGCAGCGGCCAUCGCAGCGGGGACCCUGGGUUUCGCUGGCGUCCAGGGGGAGAUUGUGUCUGAUACGGCACUAAGUGAUUACCAUGUGGUGGAGGUGGAGGUUACUGGUGCCAAUGGCUUCUCUCCCUCUCCUAGACUAAGUGAUUACCAUGUGGUGGAGGUUACUGGUGCCAAUGGCUUCUCUCCCUCUCCUAGACUAAGUGAUUACCAUGUGGUGGAGGUUACUGGUGCCAAUGGCUUCUCUCCCUCUCCUAGACUAAGUGAUUACCAUGUGGUGGAGGUUACUGGUGCCAAUGGUUUCUCUCCCUCUCCUAGACUAAGUGAUUACCAUGUGGUGGAGGUUACUGGUUCCAAUGGCUUCUCUCCCUCUCCUAGACUAAGUGAUUACCAUGUGGUGGAGGUGGAGGUUACUGGUGCCAAUGGCUUCACAGUGCAUACAGUGAGGAGGAACCCAGCCAAACUUGGAGCUGUAACUGGGAGUGCCACCUACAACUCCUUCUGGAGCAGCUUACUGGUGUGUAAGGGACAUGGUGGCCGGGUUUACUUGUGCUGAAGAGGGAGGGAUUUCAGAAGACAAUUCCCUCUACCAACCAAACACUCACAACACUAUGACUAAGUGAUUACCAUGUGGUGGAGGUGGAGGUUACUGGUGCCAAUGGCUUCUCUCCCUCUCCUAGACUAAGUGAUUACCAUGUGGUGGAGGUUACUGGUGCCAAUGGCUUCUCUCCCUCUCCUAGACUAAGUGAUUACCAUGUGGUGGAGGUUACUGGUGCCAAUGGCUUCUCUCCCUCUCCUAGACUAAGUGAUUA